GCCGAACGCUGGCGACGUGCUUAACACAUGCACGUCGACAUGAGUGGCGAACGGGUGAGUACUACUUUGGUAACCUGCCCUCCGUUUUGGGCUAAGCCGUGGAAACGGGGUCUCAUACCGAAUAAAGGGGGAUGGGAUCGCGGCCUAUCAGCUUGUUGGUGGGUGGAUGGUCUACCAAGGCGGUGACGGGUAGCCGGGCUGAGAGGGUGACCGGCCAGAUUGGGAUGGAGGUAAGGUCCAGACUCCUACGGGAGGAAGCAGUGGGGGAUAGUGGCAAAGGGGCGUAAGCCUGAUGCAGCGCAGCCGCGUGGGGGAUGAAUGCUUUCGGGUUGUAAACCUCGUUCGCUAUCGAACGGGUAGGUGGAGAAGAAGCGCCGGCUAACUACGUGCCAGCCGCCGCGGUAAUUC
Molecule: ribosomal RNA, 408 nt
Filed under: uncultured bacterium
Lineage: Bacteria
Description: partial 16S ribosomal RNA
Rfam family: Bacterial small subunit ribosomal RNA
Source: RNAcentral